This is a long non-coding RNA of Peromyscus eremicus (cactus mouse), 346 nucleotides long. RefSeq lists it as uncharacterized. The record is from RefSeq and is a predicted model, not a curated record. NCBI's taxonomy places the organism in Eukaryota, Metazoa, Chordata, Mammalia, Rodentia, Cricetidae. The transcript is spliced from 3 exons.
UCUCAAUCUGUUCUAGUUACUUCUCUGUGGCUGUGAUAAAACACUGAUAAGAAUCAACUAGGAAGAAAAUGUUUAUUUGGCUUAUGCAGUCUACCACUGAGGAAAGUCAAGGAUUCUUUUAGAAUUGAAGCUGAGAGUCUUGACAACUACAUCAAUGAACUUGAAUGGGUGAAGUGAACAUUUUAACAUCUGGUGAUGACGGAAACCACAUGGUUUGGAUCUCAGUGAAUAAAAGAUGAUGAGGAAGAACAACUAGAAACAUGAAAGCCAUAGACUCAGAAGCCAAAGAACAAGAAAGGAAUUAUUGAAACUUCCCUGGUGCAUGGCUAAAGUGAAAGAACCCCCC